UACGUAGGGGGCAAGCGUUGUCCGGAAUCAUUGGGCGUAAAGAGCGUGUAGGCGGCCCGAUAAGUCCGCUGUGAAAGUCCAGGGCUCAACCCUGGGAUGCCGGUGGAUACUGUCGGGCUCGAGUCCGGAAGAGGAGUGUGGAAUUCCUGGUGUAGCGGUGAAAUGCGCAGAUAUCAGGAGGAACACCGGUGGUGUGGACGGCUUUCUGGACCGUAACUGACGCUGAGACACGAAAGCGUGGGUAGCAAACAGG
This 253-nucleotide ribosomal RNA is filed under the name uncultured bacterium. Its description in RNAcentral is "partial 16S ribosomal RNA". It matches the Rfam family "Bacterial small subunit ribosomal RNA", at positions 524 to 776 of the family's 1533-position model. The record is from RNAcentral.